GACGAACGCUGGCGGCGUGCUUAACACAUGCAAGUCGAGCGGUAAGGCCCUUUCGGGGGUACACGAGCGGCGAACGGGUGAGUAACACGUGGGUGACCUGCCCUUAGCUCUGGGAUAAGCCUGGGAAACUGGGUCUAAUACCGGAUAUGACUCCAUGACGCAUGUUGUGGGGUGGAAAGCCUUGUGCGGCUAGGGAUGGGCCCGCGGCCUAUCAGCUUGUUGGUGGGGUGAUGGCCACCAAGGCGACGACGGGUAGCCGGCCUGAGAGGGCGACCGGCCACACUGGGGACUGAGACACGGCCCAGACUCCUACGGGAGGCAGCAGUGGGGAAUCUUGCGCAAUGGGCGAAAGCCUGACGCAGCGACGCCGCGGUGGGGAUGACGGCC
RNAcentral lists this ribosomal RNA (387 nucleotides) under uncultured bacterium. Its description in RNAcentral is "bacterial SSU rRNA". It matches the Rfam family "Bacterial small subunit ribosomal RNA", at positions 28 to 416 of the family's 1533-position model. The record is from RNAcentral.